RNAcentral lists this ribosomal RNA (459 nucleotides) under uncultured bacterium. RNAcentral describes it as "partial 16S ribosomal RNA". It matches the Rfam family "Bacterial small subunit ribosomal RNA", at positions 339 to 795 of the family's 1533-position model. The record is from RNAcentral.
CUACGGGUGGCAGCAGUGAGGAAUAUUGGUCAAUGGGCGGGAGCCUGAACCAGCCAAGUCGCGUGAGGGAAGACGGUCCUAUGGAUUGUAAACCUCUUUAGGCGGGGAGCAAUGCCGGGCACGCGUGCCCGGAGGGAGAGUACCCGCAGAAUAAGUAUCGGCUAACUCCGUGCCAGCAGCCGCGGUAAUACGGAGGAUGCGAGCGUUAUCCGGAUUCAUUGGGCUUAAAGGGAGCGUAGGCGGUCGUUCAAGUCAGCUGUAAAAUCGCGCGGCUCAACCGCGCCCCGCAGUUGAAACUGGACGACUUGAGUUCACAACAGGCAGGCGGAAUUCGUGGUGUAGCGGUGAAAUGCAUAGAAAUCACGAGGAACCCCGAUUGCGAAGGCAGCCUGCCGGGGUGCGACUGACGCUGAGGCUCGAAGGUGCGGGUAUCAAACAGGAUUAGAUACCCUAGUAGUC